This 422-nucleotide ribosomal RNA is filed under the name uncultured bacterium. RNAcentral's name for it is "bacterial SSU rRNA". It matches the Rfam family "Bacterial small subunit ribosomal RNA", at positions 355 to 774 of the family's 1533-position model. The record is from RNAcentral.
UGAGGAAUAUUGGACAAUGGGCGCAAGCCUGAUCCAGCCAUGCCGCGUGCAGGAAGAAGCAUCUAUGGUGUGUAAACUGCUUUUGUACGGGAAGAAACACUCCUUCGUGAAGGAGCUUGACGGCACCGUAAGAAUAAGGAUCGGCUAACUCCGUGCCAGCAGCCGCGGUAAUACGGAGGGUCCAAGCGUUAUCCGGAAUCAUUGGGUUUAAAGGGUCCGUAGGCGGUUUAAUAAGUCAGUGGUGAAAGCCCAUCGCUCAACGAUGGAACGGCCAUUGAUACUGCUAGACUUGAAUUACAAGGAAGUAACUAGAAUAUGUAGUGUAGCGGUGAAAUGCUUAGAUAUUACGUGGAAUACCAAUUGCGAAGGCAGGUUACUACUUGUGGAUUGACGCUGAUGGACGAAAGCGUGGAGAUCGAACA